Molecule: transfer RNA, 71 nt
Filed under: Ophiostoma piliferum
Lineage: Eukaryota; Fungi; Ascomycota; Sordariomycetes; Ophiostomatales; Ophiostomataceae
Description: tRNA-Met
Rfam family: tRNA
About the family: Transfer RNA (tRNA) molecules are approximately 80 nucleotides in length.
Source: RNAcentral
AGCGGUUUGGUGUAAUAGUUACAUAGUUGGCUCAUGACCGACUGUUAUUGGUGCAAUUCCUUUAACCGCAU